Peromyscus eremicus (cactus mouse) is the source of this 1808-nucleotide long non-coding RNA. RefSeq lists it as uncharacterized. The record is from RefSeq and is a predicted model, not a curated record. Lineage: Eukaryota; Metazoa; Chordata; Mammalia; Rodentia; Cricetidae. The transcript is spliced from 4 exons.
GCAGAACCGUUACCGCGAGGCGAAGGACAGUUGGGGUAGUUUUGUGGGCCACGGUGGAGUGAUGUAAUACCGUUCCUCGUCGCAUGGGUCUGUUACCACCUUGCAGCCUGUACCUCUUCAUCCUUUAUCUGUCUAGACACUUGAAUAGCUACCCACAAAAUAAAAUCAACGGGCACAGAAAAUAGAGGAACCAAGCAAGCAGCAAGCUACCCUGGGUAUUUGCUUUCUUUUAGACCCGGCCUAGCUUGCCCGGCUCAUUAAAGAUAUGCUUAGUCAACAAAACAGCGGCUGACAUUUAGCUGCAGAAAACAACCACUGAACAGCCUGUGGAAUUUCUUCGAGAGGGAACGCUGAUGAACAGUUGACUCAUCACAACAGGGUCCGUUUCCAGAUGGAUCCAUGCGGCCCUUAGGCUGGCGUGCUGCUUGGGCCGUCCCAGCACCAACAUCUGGAUGCUCAGAGUCGCAUUCUAGGGUCAGAUCUGAACUGCACAGAAAGCAUACUUUGCAAUUUCACUUACUGAAGGGUCGCCGUCAUCUUUUUCUUCACGGACUGAAUUAUUUCAAGGCUUUUCAUAUCUGUUAGAAUGGGUUGAAUUUCAUUUUCAUGAAAGAUAAAUGAAACUUUAAACUGGGUGACUGCAGAGUCUAUCAGAACGUGGCCCUGCUUAUCAAAACGUUCUACGCUAGUGUUUGUGCCCAGGCGUCAGGAAGGCCAGGAAAUGGGAACAGCUCUGCUGGAUACCCAGGAAAGCCAAGGACUUAUUAAUCUUCUCUCUCAAGACUCACUGCCAGGGUCUUAGUUUUGGCCCAUCGCCCCUCACUUGUGUGACAGAAGCCACCCUCUAACUGGUUUAUCAGCUUCCACACACUUCUGGGUGAUAGAAAGUCGUAAAGUUAUCUCCUGUGAUCAUCAAACAGCUAACGUUGGCAAGCCUCGAAUGGUGUUCCUCCAAUGGUGAUGGGUUGAUACACGGAUGAACCAUCGGUACCGGAUGUUGAAGAUUUGGAAAUGCCUCCAGCACCGGACCUGACAGCACACCCUAGUGUGUCUCUUCUCAUGACUGCAUUCUUUCCAGGCCCUGCAUCCCACUGCCACUGCCCAGCAGAUGGGGUGGCAGUGAAUCAGCUUCACAUUGCUUCAUGUGGUGGUUUCACUGAAACCUUGGCCUGGAUGCUUUGGAACCCGUAGUGAGGCAGCACUCGUGAGGCAGAGUCAACCUGCUCUCUUCAUGGUUCCCAGAAAACAAAAAGAGAGCCAGGAAGGGGUGCAAAUCCCAAUAUCCUUCCAGGGCACACCCUCAAUGACCUCCCCAUCCCUAGAUGAACCCAGGUAACCACCAGUCUGUCCUCAAGUUUUAUAAUUUGUCAUUUGAAAGUGACAUUCUUUCUUUUCUAAAUGAACCAGUCUUUAAAGUAUAAUCUCCAUUGUUCGUUAUAUUUAAGAAGAGGAUAAACUUGCAUUUUUCUGUCACUAGGACUCAGCUCCUUGUAGUGGAUAGCUCCUUACAAGGUCUUUGGCACCCACAGAUCUAAAUUAGGGCUAGGGGUUCUGUCUGCUGUCUUCAUGAGGUCAUUCCUGGCCCCUUUACUGUAAGUGGCAGACAUGCUGUAGUGCACAGAGAGGCAUCAAAGGCAUCUGAUUCUAGAAUAUUCCUCAUGGAAUAUUGUGAUGAGCUUUCAGCAGCCUUAUGCUUGGGCAAGCAUCAGCUGCAGCUCACAUAGCUGCUGGGCUGCCUGUGGCCACAACCCUUUACCUGACCAUUGUUCCUUCUUUAUUUUUAAAGUAAGGACCUGAGAUACCUGUCA